Molecule: ribosomal RNA, 603 nt
Filed under: uncultured marine bacterium
Lineage: Bacteria
Description: bacterial SSU rRNA
Rfam family: Bacterial small subunit ribosomal RNA
Source: RNAcentral
CGAAGUAGCAAUACUUAGUGGCAGACGGGUGAGUAACAUGUAGGUAUCUUCCCUUUGGUGAGGAAUAACACGAGGAAACUUGUGCUAAUACCUCAUAAGUCUUUACGGAGAAAGCUUUAUGCGCCAGAGGAUGAGCCUGCACUUGAUUAGUUUGUUGGUGGGGUAAUGGCUUACCAAGACUUUGAUCAAUAGCUGAUCUGAGAGGAUGAUCAGCCACAUUGGGACUGAGACACGGCCCAAACUCCUACGGGAGGCAGCAGUAGGGAGUAUUGCACAAUGGAGGAAACUCUGAUGCAGCGAUGCCGCGUGAGUGAAGAAGGCCUUUGGGUUGUAAAGCUCUUUCGUCGGGGAAGAAAAUGACUGUACCCGAAUAAGAAGGUCCGGCUAACUUCGUGCCAGCAGCCGCGGUAAUACGAAGGGACCUAGCGUAGUUCGGAAUUACUGGGCUUAAAGAGUUCGUAGGUUGUUAAAAAAGUUGGUGGUGAAAUCCCAGAGCUCAACUCUGGAACUGCCAUCAAAACUUUUUAGCUAGAGUAUGAUAGAGGAAAGCAGAAUUUCUAGUGUAGAGGUGAAAUUCGUAGAUAUUAGAAAGAAUACCAAUUG